This 266-nucleotide ribosomal RNA is filed under the name uncultured prokaryote. Its description in RNAcentral is "partial 16S ribosomal RNA". It matches the Rfam family "Bacterial small subunit ribosomal RNA", at positions 524 to 789 of the family's 1533-position model. The record is from RNAcentral.
UACGUAGGUGGCAAGCGUUAUCCGGAAUUAUUGGGCGUAAAGAGCGCGCAGGCGGUUCUUUAAGUCUGAUGUGAAAGCCCACGGCUCAACCGUGGAGGGUCAUUGGAAACUGGGGAACUUGAGUGCAGAAGAGGAAAGUGGAAUUCCAUGUGUAGCGGUGAAAUGCGUAGAGAUGUGGAGGAACACCAGUGGCGAAGGCGACACGCUGGGCCUGACCUGACGCUGAGAGGCGAAAGCAUGGGGAGCGAACGGGAUUAGAUACCCCU